GAUGAACGCUGGCGGCGUGCCUAAUACAUGCCAGUCGAGCGAACAGAUGAGGAGCUUGCUCCUCUGACGUUAGCGGCGGACGGGUGAGUAACACGUGGAUAACCUACCUAUAAGACUGGGAUAACUUCGGGAAACCGGAGCUAAUACCGGAUAAUAUAUUGAACCGCAUGGUUCAAUAGUGAAAGACGGUUUUGCUGUCACUUAUAGAUGGAUCCGCGCCGCAUUAGCUAGUUGGUAAGGUAACGGCUUACCAAGGCAACGAUGCGUAGCCGACCUGAGAGGGUGAUCGGCCACACUGGAACUGAGACACGGUCCAGACUCCUACGGGAGGCAGCAGUAGGGAAUCUUCCGCAAUGGGCGAAAGCCUGACGGAGCAACGCCGCGUGAGUGAUGAAGGUCCUCGGAUCGUAAAACUCUGUUAUUAGGGAAGAACAAAUGUGUAAGUAACUAUGCACGUCUUGACGGUACCUAAUCAGAAAGCCACGGCUAACUACGUG
This 497-nucleotide ribosomal RNA is filed under the name uncultured bacterium. RNAcentral describes it as "partial 16S ribosomal RNA". It matches the Rfam family "Bacterial small subunit ribosomal RNA", at positions 28 to 507 of the family's 1533-position model. The record is from RNAcentral.